GAUUGAUACUAAGCCAUGUGAGUCUUUGUAGCAAUACAAGGCAUACGGCUCAGUAACACGUAGUCAACCUACCUUAUAGACGGGGAUAACCUCGGGAAACUGAGAAUAAUACCCGAUAGAUCAUUAUGCCUGGAAUGGCUUAUGGUUGAAAUGAAUUUCGCUAUAGGAUGGGACUGCGGUCUAUCAGCUUGUUGGUGAGGUAAUGGCCCACCAAGGCUAUAACAGAUACGGGCUCUGAGAGGAGAAGCCCGGAGAUGGGUACUGAGACACGGACCCAGGUCCUAUGGGGCGCAGCAGGCGAGAAAACUUUGCAAUGUGCGAAAGCACGACAAGGUUAAUCCGAGUGUUUCCUGCUAAAGGAAUCUUUUGUUAGUCAUAAUACCACUAUCGAAUAAGGGGUGGGCAAGUUCUGGUGUCAGCCGCCGCGGUAAAACCAGCACCUCAAGUGGUCAGGAGGGUUAUUGGGCCUAAAGCAUCCGUAGCCUGCUUUGUUAGUUUUCGGUUAAAUCCAUAUGCUCAACAUAUGGGCCGUCGAGAAUACUGCAUAGCUAGGGAGUGGGAGAGGUAGACGGUACUCCGUAGGAAGGGGUAAAAUCCUUUGAUCUAUGGAUGACCACCUGUGGCGAAGGCGGUCUACCAGAACACGUCCGACGGUGAGGGAUGAAAGCU
RNAcentral lists this ribosomal RNA (669 nucleotides) under uncultured archaeon. RNAcentral's name for it is "bacterial SSU rRNA". It matches the Rfam family "Archaeal small subunit ribosomal RNA", at positions 36 to 712 of the family's 1478-position model. The record is from RNAcentral.